Molecule: ribosomal RNA, 433 nt
Filed under: uncultured bacterium
Lineage: Bacteria
Description: partial 16S ribosomal RNA
Rfam family: Bacterial small subunit ribosomal RNA
Source: RNAcentral
AGCGAACGCUGGCGGCAGGCCUAACACAUGCAAGUCGAACGAACUCUUCGGAGUUAGUGGCGGACGGGUGAGUAACACGUGGGAACGUGCCUUUUGGUUCGGAAUAACUCAGGGAAACUUGUGCUAAUACCGAAUGUGCCCUUCGGGGGAAAGAUUUAUCGCCAUUAGAGCGGCCCGCGUCUGAUUAGCUAGUUGGUGAGGUGACGGCUCACCAAGGCGACGAUCAGUAGCUGGUCUGAGAGGAUGACCAGCCACACUGGGACUGAGACACGGCCCAGACUCCUACGGGAGGCAGCAGUGGGGAAUCUUGCGCAAUGGGCGAAAGCCUGACGCAGCCAUGCCGCGUGAAUGAUGAAGGUCUUAGGAUUGUAAAAUUCUUUCACCGGGGACGAUAAUGACGGUACCCGGAGAAGAAGCCCCGGCUAACUUCGUG